UACGGAGGAUGCAAGCGUUAUCCGGAUUUAUUGGGUUUAAAGGGUACGUAGGCGGAAAAUUAAGUCAGUGGUGAAAUCCCGCAGCUUAACUGUGGAACUGUCAUUGAUACUGGUUUUCUUGAAUGUAGUUGAGGUAGGCGGAAUGUGUAAUGUAGCGGUGAAAUGCUUAGAUAUUACACAGAACACCGAUUGCGAAGGCAGCUUACUAAGCUAUGAUUGACGCUGAGGUACGAAAGCGUAGGGAGCGAACAGG
This 253-nucleotide ribosomal RNA is filed under the name uncultured bacterium. RNAcentral describes it as "partial 16S ribosomal RNA". It matches the Rfam family "Bacterial small subunit ribosomal RNA", at positions 524 to 776 of the family's 1533-position model. The record is from RNAcentral.